This 803-nucleotide ribosomal RNA is filed under the name uncultured bacterium. RNAcentral describes it as "bacterial SSU rRNA". It matches the Rfam family "Bacterial small subunit ribosomal RNA", at positions 8 to 796 of the family's 1533-position model. The record is from RNAcentral.
AGAGUUUGAUCAUGGCUCAGAGCGAACGUUAGCGGCGGGCCUAACACAUGCAAGUCGAACGAGAAAAUCCCUUCGGGGGUGAGUACAGUGGCGCACGGGUGAGGAACGCGUAGGUAAUCCACCCUCUGGCGGGGGACAACACUCCGAAAGGAAUGCUAAUACCGCGUAAGACCACGCUCACUACGGUGAAAGUGGUUAAAGGUGCCUCAAAGCACCACCAGAGGACGAGCCUGCGUCCCAUCAGCUUGUUGGUAAGGUAAUGGCUUACCAAGGCUAAGACGGGUAGCUGGUCUGAGAGGAUGAUCAGCCACACUGGCACUGGAACACGGGCCAGACUCCUACGGGAGGCAGCAGUGAGGAAUAUUGGGCAAUGGGCGCAAGCCUGACCCAGCCACGCCGCGUGUGUGAUGAAGGCCUUCGGGUCGUAAAGCACUGUGGGGAGAGACGAAACAGCGCAUCAGGAAAUGGGUGCGCCUUGACGGUACCUCCUUAGCAAGCACCGGCUAACUCUGUGCCAGCAGCCGCGGUAAUACAGAGGGUGCAAACGUUGCUCGGAUUUACUGGGCGUAAAGCGCGUGUAGGCGGACUCGCAAGUCGGUUGUGAAAUCCCUGGGCUCAACCUAGGAACUGCAUCCAAAACUGCUUGUCUUGAGUAAUGGAGAGGGUGGCGGAAUUCCCGGUGUAGAGGUGAAAUUCGUAGAUAUCGGGAGGAACACCAGUGGCGAAGGCGGCCACCUGGACAUUUACUGACGCUGAGACGCGAAAGCGUGGGGAGCAAACAGGAUUAGAUACCCUAGUAGUCC